AGUGAACGCUGGCGGUAGGCCUAACACAUGCAAGUCGAACGGCAGCACAGUAAGAGCUUGCUCUUACGGGUGGCGAGUGGCGGACGGGUGAGGAAUACAUCGGAAUCUACUUUUUCGUGGGGGAUAACGUAGGGAAACUUACGCUAAUACCGCAUACGACCUACGGGUGAAAGCAGGGGAUCUUCGGACCUUGCGCGAUUGAAUGAGCCGAUGUCGGAUUAGCUAGUUGGCGGGGUAGAGGCCCACCAAGGCGACGAUCCGUAGCUGGUCUGAGAGGAUGAUCAGCCACCCUGGAACUGAGACACGGUCCAGACUCCUACGGGAGGCAGCAGUGGGGAAUAUUGGACAAUGGGCGCAAGCCUGAUCCAGCCAUACCGCGUGGGUGAAGAAGGCCUUCGGGUUGUAAAGCCCUUUUGUUGGGAAAGAAAAGCAGCAGGUUAAUACCCCGCUGUUCUGACGGUACCCAAAGAAUAAGCACCGGCUAACUUCGUG
Molecule: ribosomal RNA, 492 nt
Filed under: uncultured bacterium
Lineage: Bacteria
Description: partial 16S ribosomal RNA
Rfam family: Bacterial small subunit ribosomal RNA
Source: RNAcentral